RNA transcript from Pelmatolapia mariae (spotted tilapia), 1160 nucleotides. It is a transcript of the gene named leukocyte surface antigen CD53-like, with no coding region annotated. NCBI's taxonomy places the organism in Eukaryota, Metazoa, Chordata, Actinopteri, Cichliformes, Cichlidae. The record is from RefSeq and is a predicted model, not a curated record. The transcript has 7 exons.
GGAAACUGUUAGAGGUGACACAAAUAUUUCGCUGGAUUCUUACUCUGGAUCACCCUCAACCUUCUCUUACAUUGACAUCAAACAAAGGAAGCAUUCAUUUGUGCCGUGAGUUCAGGAGAAGCAAAAAUGGGAAAAGUGAACGUCUGCUUGAAACGGAGUUAUAUUGUCGUAAUAAGCGUGAUUGCAGUGAUCAGUUUGGUGGUUCUGGUAUUCACUCCGUUUCUGUUUUCUGACCACGAACUGAAAGAGGAAGUACUCAGGACAGCAGUCAUGUUGUCUUUUUAUUUUAUAAUUCUUUUGCGCCAUUGGUGUCUGGAAAGAGAAGAAGUGGGCUCUAAAAGUGGUCGGCAAAGAAAAAAAACACAAGAUUCCUCAUAUUUCUAUUAAAAUACAAUUUAUGACAAAAACAAAUAGAUCUUUCUUUCUGUAUUUCUCUGUGUGCGUGUGUGUGUGUGUGACAGUAUGCAGUUGGAGUGAUUUUAGAGAGUAUCGUCUUGUUGGUGGUUAUCAUUCUAUUAUUCGUAGGACUGGCUUCCCACACUGAGGUAUUACCGAGUUGACUUUAAAAUGUGGAGUUUGUGUGGGGGUUUUUGUGUGUGUGUUUGUUUAGUUGAAUCCAAAAUGUGUUUUAGAAGAUACAGUAUUGUUUGUAAUAAUAUUUUUAAUAUUACUUUGUUUUUGUUGUGCAGCUAGUUGAAGAGCUGAAGAAGGAAUACCUGAGGCUUUUGCCGCUGACGGAAAGCAGCAAAGAGUUGCUCGACGAUUUACAGACAGAUUUGGAGUGUUGUGGACUUCAGGGAUACCAGGACUGGAAGUCCAACAUCCCAAAAUCCUGCCUUUGCGCCAAAGAGUCCACUAAUCCGUGUGUGGAAACUCUUGGAGGCAUCUGGGAGGAAAAUCAGACUGUUAUGGUUUAUGAACAGAUGUUGUCCCUCGUGUUGUGUAGAGCCAUCUUGCGCCAGCUGAAUCGAAACAGAGACACCCCGGUAGUGAACUAAGGUGCAGAGGCAAAAGCAGGCAACUACACCACCCACACAGAGCCUCCAGACCACUUCCGAUGUCUUUGCUAGUUCUGAUGCUUCCAGCAGUGAUGGCCAUUAUUUAAGCAUGCUAAAUAAUAAAUAUAUUUAUGACAAUUGCUUAUAUUGAAUAUAUUCUAC